GCGACCACAACGUCUGUUGCGGCCCGUUCGAUCGGUGCGUUAAUAUUCUUCUAGCCAGUGAGUGGCAGGUGGUCAGUGUCGUAUAGCUGGCAAUGUGACAGCAGAGAACGUUAGACUGAGGCACUGUCUCCCGCGGAGCAGUAUAAAAUAUCUCAGGGUCUUGUUCACGGUCGACUGGCGGAUCGGGGCGACGUUGUACAAGUCAGUCGUGGUGAGGAGGGUGCUGAGCCGACAAGCAAAGCUGUCGAUUUACCGAUCGAGCUAAGUUCCUGCCGACACCUAUGGCCAUGAACUGUGCGUAUUUACAUGAAGCACUAGAUCGCAGAUACGAGCGGCGGAAAAGAGUAUCAGGGUGGCUGGGCUCAGCCUUCGAGAAGGGGUGAGGAGAGCAGACGAGGUGGUUCAGACAUCUGAUAGGAUGCCUUCUGGACGCCAGCCUGAGAAGAUGUUUCAGGCAUGGAGUUGGGAUCUCGGGGAAGACCAAGGAUGAGUGGGAAUGAGUCGGUGUCCAUGCUUAGUCUGCUGCCCCAAUGACCCAAACCCGAUUCGCUGCCGAAAAUCAAAGGAUGGAUGGAUAAUUUUAACAGGGAAAAAGCGGAGGAACUUUUCACAGUCUGCAAUGAUCAGAUCAGAUAAAGGCUGGCGUAGUUUAUUAACCACAGACAUACAAUAUGCAUUGGUGUGCGCUUAUGGCUAACACACACAUACGCCAAGCCUACGCUGGGGCAAACGUAUUGUCGCCAGUUCAUCAAACCUGCAUGUAUUUGGAAAUUGGGAGGAAACGGAAGCACCCGGAGCAAAUCCACUCAGGAUGGGAAGAACAGGCUAACUACUAAGGCCGUAUUUUAUUCGGAUGGUGGUAAGAGGAGGAUUCGAAACCAUCGCCUUCUCCAUCUUGGCUGGUGGGCCCGGGGGUGUUGAUCCUGCUGAGCUAUUCUUUGGGCCGUUUUUACGGUGGAGCUUCAACACUUUUAGCAACUGGUCGCUCCGUCGACAACUCAAAUAAAAGAUAUUUAUCUGGAUCGUCAUUCUUCGGGGGGAGGGGGUCUCGAUCGCGGGGCCGACUCGGUCUUGGCUGGCGGGGACCAUUGCUUGUUUCGCUGUGCCACCCGGGAGUCCCCUUUUGAAGGCUGGUAUAGAAAUCAUUUAUACCGUUAACUCUUCGGUGGACACAGCAAAUAAAUAUCUCUGUUUUAGAUGCUCCUACGAUUUGGAGGGGAGAGACGCGAACCCGCACUCGUCUACGCAGCAUGAGUGGUCCACCCGGUUGAGCUACCGAGUCCGACUGGAGUAAGGCGACUAGACGCAUUUAAUGUUAGCGACAGGCCUGUGGCCCCCUUAAAGAAAUAGGUUAGUUAGUCCCUUGUCACGGCUGGCGCUCGAACCCCGCACCUUCACUUCUUACAGGAAGAACCGAAUCGGCUCGUCCAUCUCGGUGAGCUAAUCCUCCGGCCGUUUGUUACUAGAAAUCUUUUAUAUCAUUGACGGGGGGGCUGCAAAUAAACUGAAGGUAUACAUGUUAGGUGUGACGGGGGGCUGCAAAUAAACUGAAGGUAUACAUGUUAGGUGAGGUGAAUCCUAAGGGGUGAAGGUCGGGCCUGUCCUCCCUUUGACCGGGGUGGUCAGUCUGUUUUGGCCGCUUGGCCCACGUAAUCUAUAAAUUAGUUUUAUCGCCAGCCCCAUCAAAUAAAGAGUUCACUUUCAAUUUUAACACCCCUUGUUUCUUGAUGGGACCCGAACUCGUGGAUCUCAAGCACUGCUCGGCCACGGCGAUGGUUUUUACCUCAUUGAGCCACUCCAGCUGACUCAGCGUUCUGGCGGCCGGUCGUGUUUUAUACCAGCGACAUGUCAGUGGACCCCUUAAAUAAAGGGGCUUUGUGCUACGAGUGGACAGGCCGGCAUUGCACCGAGUGGGUGGAAGUGGCCCGUUCAUCGGGGUGAGCUAAUCCUCUGCUGUGAGGUGCAAGGAGUCCUUAAUAUUAUUAAAAGACGGAGGGCGCUGAGUGUAAACUGGCGAUUAAGAAAUAAUGUGAAGGAAAUUCUAUAUGGUGGUUACGGGGGCUUGAACCCGGGACUUCCCCCUAUAAAGGGGCGCUUGUCCCCCGGAGCUGUUUGCACACACCGAGUCACGAU
Molecule: long non-coding RNA, 2133 nt
Organism: Polypterus senegalus (gray bichir)
Lineage: Eukaryota; Metazoa; Chordata; Cladistia; Polypteriformes; Polypteridae
Exons: 2
Source: RefSeq, a predicted model, not a curated record